UCACCGGGUUAUUCUGCGACCU
Molecule: microRNA, 22 nt
Filed under: Pristionchus pacificus
Lineage: Eukaryota; Metazoa; Nematoda; Chromadorea; Rhabditida; Neodiplogasteridae
Description: ppc-miR-42b
Gene: ppc-miR-42b
Source: miRBase by way of RNAcentral